AUUGAACGCUGGCGGAAUGCUUUACACAUGCAAGUCGAGCGGCAGCGCGGGGGCAACCCUGGCGGCGAGCGGCGAACGGGUGAGUAACAUAUCGGAACGUACCCCGUCGUGGGGGAUAACACAGCGAAAGCUGUGCUAAUACCGCAUACGACCUGAGGGUGAAAGCGGGGGAUCGCAAGACCUCGCGCGAUGGGAGCGGCCGAUAUCGGAUUAGCUUGUUGGUGAGGUAAAGGCUCACCAAGGCGACGAUCCGUAGCUGGUCUGAGAGGACGACAGCCACACUGGAACUGAGACACGGUCCAGACUCCUACGGGAGGCAGCAGGUGGGUAAUUUGGACAAGUGGGGCAA
Molecule: ribosomal RNA, 349 nt
Filed under: uncultured bacterium
Lineage: Bacteria
Description: bacterial SSU rRNA
Rfam family: Bacterial small subunit ribosomal RNA
Source: RNAcentral